RNAcentral lists this transfer RNA (86 nucleotides) under Elioraea sp. Its description in RNAcentral is "tRNA-Leu". It matches the Rfam family "tRNA". From Rfam's summary of the family: Transfer RNA (tRNA) molecules are approximately 80 nucleotides in length. Their secondary structure includes four short double-helical elements and three loops (D, anti-codon, and T loops). Further hydrogen bonds mediate the characteristic L-shaped molecular structure. tRNAs have two regions of fundamental functional importance: the anti-codon, which is responsible for specific mRNA codon recognition, and the 3' end, to which the tRNAs corresponding amino acid is attached (by aminoacyl-tRNA synthetases). tRNAs cope with the degeneracy of the genetic code in two manners: having more than one tRNA (with a specific anti-codon) for a particular amino acid; and 'wobble' base-pairing, i.e. permitting non-standard base-pairing at the 3rd anti-codon position. The record is from RNAcentral. Lineage: Bacteria; Pseudomonadati; Pseudomonadota; Alphaproteobacteria; Acetobacterales; Elioraeaceae.
GCGGGCGUGGCGGAAUUGGCAGACGCAGCGGACUUAAAAUCCGCGUCCUUCGGGAAUUGUGGGUUCGACUCCCACCGCCCGCACCA